CCUGCAAGCAAUCGAGAACAAGCAAGAACAAGAUAUAAAGCAACUGAAUUGCUAGAUAGACAAGACGCACAAAGAUGAAUUGAUACACGAUAAAGUAGGGUUCCGAACAAGCAGACGGACGGUCUAGCCGACACGCGCGCUGCAAGCGAAGUAGCAAUGGCUAAACUUACAAUUAAUCAAAACCCAAGAAACCCUGAAGGGGUACCUAACUAUUUAUAGAGGUGGGAGGAUGACCAAGAGGGUCCAAGGGUCGUGCUCCACCAGAUUGGGGCGCACCCCACAUGGGCCAGGGUCUCAAACAAAGUUACAAGCCCAUUGGCCCAAUAUAGGUGACGCAGCACCUUGCUUCUGUGAUUGCGGCCAAACGAGAUAGAAUUCCGAGAUGAGGCUGGAUCCGUUGGAAGGAGGACUUCGAGAGCUUUCCAUCAAGUACUCACGGGCCCAAAACGGAGCACGUAUGUAGAUUUGGCGGCCGUUUGAAGUUAGCAAUGUAGCACGUGGCCGAAUCAGAUUGCAGCACAUAGAGGACUUGAUCUUGAUGUCUUCUUGUUGAUUCAUGAUGUGAGCAAUGGUCGUAUCCAUAGUAGCCAUGGUCACAUCAUCCUCCCCUUCUUCAUGGAAAACCGUCCUCGGUUUUUCCAUAUGGUGCUCUUCGCUUGGUCCACUGAAAACAACCUGUUUCUUGCAAUCAAAACAAGACAAACUCGAGAUAAUAUGAUUAGCAUUAACAUGUCUCUCUAGCUUGCAUAUUUUAUCCAGAACUACAAGGUGUUCUAAAUCCGAACAAAUGUAAACUCUAUGCACCAAAAAUAUUCCUCUAUCAUUAUAUUCGCCAAAGAUAUGAAAAAUAGCAUUAGUUGGACAUGGCAAAUCAGAUUUAGCUAAUAAUUUCUCCUUCAAAUUAUCGAGCUCACAAAAAUCAUCAAACUGAACAUAGCCCAAAGUAUUUAAAGAAGAUAGUAAUUCACGUUCCUCUACUUCAUUAGCAAUGUGAACAACAUGCUUAGAAUCAGCACACAAAGAAAUAGUAGAACUAACAUGUUCAUUCACUAGUUGUGGCAUGGAUAUAAGUGAAACAUUAUGACACAACUCUUCUUUAUCACAAGGAACAACAAGUAAAUCAACUUGUGACAAAGGCAUCUCAGCAAUUGGUUCCACUAAUGGUUGCUCUACUAUAGCAUGAAAAGUGGACAAAUUCAAUUCAUUAACAACACACCCACCUUGAUUUAUUGCUGCACCAUUAAGAUUACUUGUGAUUCUCUCUUCGAAUGAUGUGGGUGCAUCAAUCUUCUCUUCUUCCUUCGUGAGCGAUGUAGAUGGCAUCUCGAUCAUAUUGCUCUUCUCCUCAUGGUGAAUGUUCUGAGCUCCCUGCAAAAUGUCACUAAUAGGAGGCACAAGCAUAGCUCGUUUCUCCCUUGGGCUCUUUAAAAUAUUGCUCUCAACACUGCAAGCAAGCAUGAACAAGUGGCUUAUAUGAUUAUAUGUUACGUUAAUAAGCCCAGCCUGAAUAUCAGAAUUAAGCCCUCUAAAAAAUCUAGUCAUUGUGUUCUCAUUUUCUUUUAAACCACUAUAAGUGAUACAAAUUUUAAAGUCAUGAAAGUACUCCCGCACGGUUUUAUCACCUUGUUUUAUAUGUUCUAAUUUCUCAAGGAGAGUACGCUUAUAAUAUGAAAACACAAUAUUUUUCCUCAUCAUUGUUUUGCAUUCAUCCCAAGUUUCAAGCUUAUUGCCAACAGUAUACCACCAAAAAGAUGCAGAACCGGUACACUUAUUACUAGCAGCCUUAAUCAUUUGAGCAUUAGAGAAAUCAUACUCAUCAAAUUGUUUGUCUACUGCUAGCUCCCAAUUAACAUAAGCGGCGGAAUCAUACUUACCAUCAAAAACUGGCAAAUUAGAUUCUACCUUUGCAAGAUCAUUAUCAUGUACCUCAUAUGCUAUGCGUGAAGAAGUCACUAUAUCUCGUUGAUGGUGAAGAAGUCGAUGUUGAGCAUGAUCAUCUCGUUUCCCCUUGCACAAUCCUGCCAUGGUUAGUAGCAAACAAGAACACACACAAGAAUAUGUACGCUCUUAUCAACUACUAGGUAGUGGCAGCUCAAAUAUCACACACACUCAAGCUUUUAACCAAGCUCUUACAAGUUCUUACCAAAGCAAGUGGAAUGGUGACAUACACCGACUCAACCAAGCACCCCACCGGAGUUUGGAUGUAUCGAUGCCUUGGCAAACACAUGCUGUACGGCUGUAAUCAAAUCUGUAGAGCUCUGGGUAGGCUUAAAUAUGUAGCAAAGGAAUAGAAAAUGCUCAAUCUAGAGAAUAAAAAGUUGAAUGAUCAUUCAAAGUCAAGUACCGUGCUUGUCCUAGGCUAGAAUGUACUAGAGACGCGAGCCUAGUACACAAACGAACGACAAGAUAGCACAACUCAAGCACAACUCUGAUACAUGAAAAUGGUCUAAAAAUACAACUGAUUUUCUUUUUUUUUAUUCUUUCUUUGUUUCUUUCUUUUUUUUCUUUUCUUUUUCUUUUUCUUUUUUUUGGUGCGGCUUUUUUUUUGCUUUUGUAUGCACCUUUCUGCCUUUUCUCACUUUUUUUUAUUUUUUUCUGCAAAAACGACUCAAGGACUUCAAUGCAAAAUUACAUGGACUCAAAUGUAAAUACUAAAAUUACAGGGACUUAAAUGCAAAAGUCCAAACCCAAAAUUAGAAUUAUACAAAAAUGGAAUGCUGAAUUUGUACUGGUUCUGUUUUUCCAAACGGAUCUCCAAUCCGACACUCUAAAAAUUUUCACUAAGCUAUGCGGGAAGACACGGUAUGGAUCUUAAACCGAUAGAAGAGAGGGAGGAGUCGGACUCAGAGGGAGGAAGGUCGCACGGAGAGGUGGAGCUGAAUAUUGCGGCCAGCACUAGUGUUUGGAUUCGAUGCACAAAAUAAAAGGAAACGGAUUUCCACCUAAUCCAAUCUUCUUUUUCUUUCCUAUUCUUUUCUUUCCUUUUUUUUCCUUCCACCCAACCGAAUCCAAACAGAUCUUCUAUAUUCCUUUCCCCUUCUUCUUCCUCAUGGGCAAAACAGAACCACGCCACAAACACUAAGCCCGGGUAAACAACAAACCCUUGAUGCAACACCAAAACCGACCGAUAAAAACUUCUGAAAACUACAAAAAUAGAACCGUGGCAGCAAGCCGAUUCCGUUUUCGUAGGUCCCGACGACAAUAGAGACACGGAGGCGAUGACGACUGUGGUAUAAAACGUGACCAAAACUCGAAACUCUAAACGAACUAGAUGCUAAGACCAGCAACACGACGAGACGAUGCAACACAAAAUUCAACAAAGCAAAAACUGAAUAGAACAAAGCAAUUGCACAAAGAUGGCUAGGUACAGGAUGCAAUUUUUUUUUGUGGCUAUUUUCUGAUAAUAGGUAGAUAAAAACUCACCGAGCAACGAAAGCUCUAAUACCACCUGAUGAACCCUGAGCUCCACUCGAGACACUCAAGGCUGUUGUUGGCCCGAUCUUUCGGUGAGUUGAUGAUAACUACGAUUUGGGAGAAACGUUGACGAUCCGACUACAACCGUACAAGACGUUGCGUUGCGCCUUAGCGAUCGAUACACCUCUCCGUGGGUUGUUGAUCUUGCCGGUGCAGAUCAACCUUAUUCCUGCAAGCAAUCGAGAACAAGCAAGAACAAGAUAUAAAGCAACUGAAUUGCUAGAUAGACAAGAUGCACAAAGAUGAAUUGAUACACGAUAAAGUGGGGUUCCGAACAAGCAGACGGACGGUUUAGCCGACACGCACGCUGCAAGCGAAGUAGCAAUGGCUAAACUUACAAUUAAUUAAAACCCAAGAAACCCUGAAGGGGUACCUACCUAUUUAUUGAGGUGGGAGGACGACCAAGAGGGUCCAAGGG
RNAcentral lists this long non-coding RNA (3892 nucleotides) under Oryza sativa (Asian cultivated rice). RNAcentral's name for it is "long non-coding RNA (OSAT_LNC001784)". The record is from RNAcentral. Lineage: Eukaryota; Viridiplantae; Streptophyta; Magnoliopsida; Poales; Poaceae.